CAGUCGCCGCGGUAAUGCGAAGGGUGCAAGCGUUAACCGGAAUUACUGGGCGUAAAGCGUGCGUAGGCGGUGAGUUAAGUCUGCUGUGAAAUCCCCGGGCUCAACCUGGGAAUGGCAGUGGAUACUGGCUCGCUAGAGUGUGUCAGAGGAUGGUGGAAUUCCCGGUGUAGCGGUGAAAUGCGUAGAGAUCGGGAGGAACAUCAGUGGCGAAGGCGGCCAUCUGGGACAACACUGACGCUGAGGCACGAAAGCGUGGGGAGCAAACAGGAUUAGAGACCCCCGUAGUCCCUGUCUCUUAUAC
This 301-nucleotide ribosomal RNA is filed under the name uncultured bacterium. Its description in RNAcentral is "partial 16S ribosomal RNA". It matches the Rfam family "Bacterial small subunit ribosomal RNA", at positions 509 to 807 of the family's 1533-position model. The record is from RNAcentral.